RNAcentral lists this long non-coding RNA (17136 nucleotides) under Erythranthe guttata (spotted monkey flower). RNAcentral describes it as "long non-coding RNA (EGUT_LNC001933)". The record is from RNAcentral. Lineage: Eukaryota; Viridiplantae; Streptophyta; Magnoliopsida; Lamiales; Phrymaceae.
UAACAAUACUAGUAGCCGUAACGGGACGAAAGAAGAUGGAUUCUUGAAGAUAGAGAUGAUUAAAAUUUCCGGUUACGCGCAGCCAUUGCUCGUGCCCGAAACCGAGUGCCCGAAGCAGUGCUUGAUGAACUGCUCUUGCAUAGCUUACGCUCAUAAUUCCGAUCUCGGGUGUAUGUUUUGGAAUAGUACCUUGUUCGACAUUCAGAAAUUCCCUAGUGGAUCGGGUUCCGAUCUUUUUUUUCGUGUCGCGAAUUCUGAACUUGGUAAUUUAGAUAGAGAUGCUUAGUGUUUUUUCCCCCCCUUGGUUUUGAGAGAUUGUGCUGGUUUUAUUAAGCUUCCUUUGGUUGUUUUUUUAUUUGUUGAUGCAGAUCAUAAGAAAGACUUGAAGAAAAUCGUAAUAGCUUUGGUUGUAAUCGGCGUAACUCUUUUGUCUAUAUGCAUGUAUUUUUCGUGGAAAAGGGUAGUUAAGAAAAGAGGUAUAUAUAUGGUUACACUUUCAGUUUCUACGAAUAUUAAAUGAGUAUUUACAGCUGUCGGCGCUACUUAAUUCGUAUGUUUUCUUUGUCAAAUUAGGCGAAAAUAGAGCCAUUGUGCUCGGAAGAGCGGAAGCAUCAGAAUCACUCGAUUCGUCUCUUCAAGACACGUUAAGUAGGUUAAAUCUUGAAGAAUUACCAUUGUUUAAAUUUGAUGUACUCGUAGAUGCAACCGACAGAUUCUCCAAUGCUAACAAGCUUGGAAAGGGCGGUUUCGGCAUUGUUUACAAGGUAAAUGUUUUUUUUCUUCCUUCCGUGCUUGUAUUAAUUUUCGAUUGUAACAUUUCGUGCUGAUAUAUACAUUAGGGAGAACUGGCAAACGGAAGAGAAAUCGCGGUAAAAAGGCUUUCUAAGGAAUCGGGACAAGGGAUAGAUGAAUUCAUGAACGAAGUAGUGCUUAUUUCUAAACUCCAACACAGAAAUCUCGUUAGACUAUUGGGUUGCUGUGUGGAGAAUAACGAAAAGAUGCUUAUAUACGAAUACAUGCCUAAUAAAAGCUUGGAUUUCUUUCUCUUCGGUCGGUUUUCAAACAUCUUUAAUUUCUAUCUCUUGUUCGACAAAUUUGAGGAAACUCAUCACUUGUUCUGUUUAUGUAUGCAAUAUUAUUUUUUUAUUUCAGAUAAAUCGCAAGAAAUCCUCGAUUGGAGAAAGCGUUUAAACAUCAUCGAAGGCAUUUGUCGAGGCCUUCUUUACCUUCACAGAGAUUCGAGAUUAAAGAUAAUCCAUCGAGACCUCAAGCCAAGUAACAUAUUGCUGGAUAAUGAUUGGAAUCCGAAGAUUUCCGAUUUCGGGAUGGCGAGAAUUUUCGGAAGCAACCAAGAUCAUAUCAGCACUGUAAGAGUUGUCGGAACAUAGUAAGCGAUCGCACAUAUUAUUAUAUUUGAUCCAUUUUAUAUUAUUUUAUCGGUGUAUAUAAAACUUUAUGAUUUAAUUGGAGCUUGCAGCGGAUAUAUGGCUCCCGAAUAUGCAAUCGAAGGGAAAUUUUCCGAAAAAUCUGAUGUUUUCAGCUUCGGGGUGUUGAUGUUAGAGAUUGUUUGCGGAAGAAGGAACACGAGCUUUUACAAUCACGAAACCUCUGCCAAUCUCUUAGGACAUGUAUGUAUGUCUCUACCUUAAAUUUUAUAUGUGUUGUUGUCGUAUAUUUAUUUAUUUAUUUUCUCCGGAAAAAAAGGUGUGGAAACUGUGGAGUGAAGACGAUGUAGGAGAAUCGAUAGACGUAAGAAUAUCGAGCCGAAGUUAUCGUACAGAAGUGGUGAGAUGCAUACAAAUAGGAUUACUGUGUGUGCAAGAACUGCCUAAAGAUAGGCCUUCGGUUUCGAGUGUGCUCUCAAUGCUUAAGAGCGAAAUAGCAGAGCUUCCGGAACCUAAACAAGUUGCAUUUUUUGCGUUGAAUUCGAACGGUAGUUCGAAUACGAGGGCAACUUCUUCUCAGCAGAGUCAAAGGAGUAGUGGCUCUGUGAAUAAUGUUACUAUCUCCGUCGUUGACGGUAGAUGAAAUAUUCGUAGUUGUCUCGAAGAAGAUUGUGAAUACAGAGAGUGGAAUAUACAUAGGGAUUUCUCAGCUUAUGUAUGUAUUUAUGUAUAGGCUCGUGUACGAGGAGGUUCAAGAUCGCUCAUCUUUAUUAAUUUAGGUUCAGGGUUUUUUUUUCUCUCUCUUUCGCGCGUAUAAGCUCACUCGAUCUACAUGUAUUGGAGUUUAUUGGAUUUAGUAAGCACGUGUUAUAUCGAAUCGCUAAAGAACUCCUCGUGUUAUAAUUAUUAACAAAAAUUUCCUUAUAAUGCAAAUUUUAAGUGAGUUUUUAGGGGUACUUUGCUAAACAAAAAAAUAAUUAUAUGGGGAGUUCUUCCUAAUAAAAUAACACAAAGAGUUUUCUAACAAUUAGAGAAGACACGGAGGUGUCCAAUGCAAUAAACCGAGUGAAUUGCAUUUAGUACUUCUGUGAAAAUCGCAAUUGUGCGAUUCCUCCAUGUCAUAAAUAAAUUAGAAAAUACCCCCUAGUAUACUCGACCAAUUUACCUUUUUCCAUUGACCGGUUGCAAAAGGACAAAAUACCCUGGGGAGGUUUUUGCAAAAAGAAAAACCCCAUCGCUUGUAUAUGUAAAAUACAUAGUAAGGGACCAAAUUGAAUUUUUGAAGUUACAUAAAUUUAAAGAGGUCAAAUUGCAAUUUUCCAAAUAUAAUUUAAAGAAGGGAUUAUUUUAGAGAUCCCUAAUUUCCAAAUUAUAUAUAACCAACUACCAUGCGGAUUCCACUCUAUGGGUAACCCCCUCAUUUCGAAAAUAUUUUGACAUACUUUCUCGGCAUAUAUGAAGUACCUAAAAUGCUCUUAAUAGUCCUUUUCUAAACGUGGACGUUGCCAUGUAUACAUAACACGAGCGUUAUAAUUCCCUGUGAAGACGGAAAAUGUGCGACGUAACAGGAAAAUUCGUUUUGUCAGGAUUUCUUGAGAUAUCGUUUUGUUUGAAACUUUUGGUUUUAGUAUCUGUGGUGAAAUUUGUGGCUCUCUGUAUCAUUCAUAUUUUUCGAAGACGCCGUUAUCAUCACUGUAAGUGUUGCUUAAAUUUCAACACUCUGAAUUAAUUGUCGACGAACAAUUAUAUAAUCUGUAAAUUGUUUAUAAUUUUUGUAGAUCUCGUGUUUUUUGAUUGUUUGUCAUUAAAUGUGUUCAUGAAGUAAUCAUGCGUUGAUGUUUUCACUGACUUUGUGUUUUCCGACGGGUAGUUAUAUGUAGUAGUGUUUAUCGGAUUUCACGUCUGUAGAGUUCAUUUUCAAUUUGUCUCCAUAUGUAAGAUAUAUGUUUAAGAAUAGUUAUAGUUUUGUACGAGUUGUAUAUGUUUUUCGUUUGAGGUGUUGAAGGCGUUCAUGCAUUGUGUACGCGUUUAUGUGGUUACACUCUGAUGAAUUCCAUUGCGUAGUUGUAUGUAGUUAUUUUGACAUGAUUCAUGUGUUGCAGAAUGCAAUCUGAAUAUGUCUUUAUGUGUGACUCUGGUCCUGAAAUUUGAUGGUGUUUUUGGGGUUAAAAAUUGUGUUGGAAAUUUUAAUUUUGAAGAGUUAAUUAGGUUUGUAAGCUCUAAGUUUAAUGGAUUACAUCGUAACAACGAGGUUAUGUCUUACAAUAUACCCGGUGUUGGGGAGGGUAUGUUGGGAGACGAUGAUGAUGUUUUGUUCAUGUUGUCUUCUAUGCGGGAACUAUGAAUUAGUCGGAUUGAUGUAGUUAUAAAACAGAGAGUGGGUGAUCGUCGGAGGUUAGUUGGGUUGAUUCCAGUGUUACCAAAUAAUUAUGUACCGGAAUACGAUCAAGGUGUUUGCAGUGUUAAUCCGGUAGUUUGGUGACAGCUGGUCACCGCAGCUAAUGACUGCUAAUUGGGCAAAUCUUAUAAAAGAUGUUGGGCAAGUGUUUGAAGGUGGUGCGAAGGAUUUUAGGAAGGCGUUAUGUCUGUAUGCUAUUGAGAUGGAAUUUGAAUUCCGGUAUGUGAAGAACGAGCGUGUUAGGGUCACUACAGUUUGUAAAGAUAGGGAUGUGAAGGAUUGUAUGUGGAGGAUACAUGCAUCAAUUGAGCACGCGAAUGAGUUCUUUUAUAUUAAAAGACAUGUCAAGCAUCAUACGUGUGGUUGUGGAUUUGCUACGUCUAGUAAGAAGAGGUUGACGUCUGAUAUAAUUACUGAGUUGAUGAUGAGUGAAGUCAGAGCUAAGCCUGGGUGGGUGGCCAACGAUGUGGUUGUCCAUGCGAAGCUUCAUUUUGGUAUUGAUAUCAGCUACUAUGUUGGUUGGAGAACUAUUCAGACUUCUAAGGAAGACAUUUUCGGUGAUCACACAACCUUGUAUUUGUAUCUGCCAUCCUACUUUGACGAACUUGAAAGGACCAAUCCUGAAAGUGUAUAUCAUCUGAACAUUGAUCAAGCAACGAGUAGGUUUCGGCGAUGUUUUUUGCUGUGGGUGCUUGUUUGAUGGGUUUUAAGUCAUGCCGGUCAGUUCUGACCGUAGACGGUACGUUCUUGAAGGGGAAAUAUAGAGGGAUUUUGCUUGCUGCAGACGGGAAGGAUGGUCAAAAUGGUAAGUGAUCAACACAAUUUCGUUUACUUAACUGUAUAUUACUACUUGUUGGUUCAUGUUUUAAUGUUUAGUUUUAUUUUCAGCAUUAUUCUCUUUAGUUUUUGCUGUUGUCAAUGAGGAGACUGAUUGCAAUUGGGCAUAUUUUUUUUGAACACCUGAAAUCUGCCAUUAGGACAGAACGUAUUGACAUUUGGGUCAAACAGGAACAGCGAAAUAUUGAAAGGAGUGAAGAAUAUAUUUCCAGACUGUUUCCAUUCAUAUUGUGUUUAUCAUAUCCAGAAAAAUUUGAUGAACAAGUUCCGAGGGAAUACUACCACUUUUCGUAAAUAAACUCACACAAACAAACUAUAUUUCAAACAUUGAGAAUAUUUAUUCUGAACUCUGAUUUUUUUUUUUCUUAAAUCAUUUCCCUUUUCUCAUUUUUAUUUUGGAUUGUUUUUACAAAAAACUACCUUUAAAAAUAAAGAGGUACCAUUAUUUUAACCAUUCGAAUUAUAUAAAAAUGAAUAAUAAUAAUAAUAAUAAUAUAAAUUUCAUCUUCAAAUUAUCAGGAUGUUUUAAACAAUACAUAUAAGAAAAAAACAAUAUAUGUAUAAAACAUAUAUGUUUAAAAUAUAUUAUUUGAAUAUAUAAUAAUAUUAACAUUCAAAAUGUGCUUUUUUUGUUGUUCUUGGAUUAUGAGCUAGAGGUCCUUCAAAAACAUUUGGUACCAUUUAAGGACAGACAAUGUUUAUCAUUUUGAUUAAGGUCCUUUAAUUAGAUUUUGAUACCAUUUAAAGUCCCUGUAGUCCUCUAAUAGGGUUAAGUGGACGCUGAAUAGACAAUUUUUUCUUCAUGCAUUGUUUGAUACUGCAGUUUGAACAAUAGAUACCUGAUUUCGUCCGUGGGGCUUCCGUCUUUUCCAAGUCAACUUGGUCCGUACUCCGGUGAAGGUACCUGCAACGCCGGGAGGGGUUCCCGGCGGGAAAGCUCCGACGAUCAAGUCAGCGAUCGGAAUAGAAAAAUGUGUAUGCAAUGUAACAGUAAUUAAUGUGUAUUCUUGUGUGUGUGUAUGUGUGAUGAUCAUUCUAUUUAUAGAUGGAGAAAACUUGGCCUCCAAGGCUUUCCCUCUUUAGGGUUUCUCUUUACCCUCAAGUCACAUAUCUUGGGCCUGUAUUGCCUUGGGCUCGCCCUACCUCGUUUUGGUAUUGGGCUGGCGAGUUAAGGUAUUCCCAUAUAGUUCCCGAGGUUUGCACAAUACAGCGACCUCGCCCAUAACUUCGAGCUAAGUCAUCAUGGGCUCUUUAUCGUGGGCCUAUCAUACUGGGCUUAUCCUAAUGGGCUUACGCUUAUUCGUUAUUUGUCAAACUGGCCCGUAUCAACUACUCCCCCCCUACUCCUUAUUUAUAAAACGGGUUGGCUUUCCCUUACUUCGUUUUAUAAGUAUGGAGUACGAGGUGUUAGUUCGUACUUCGAUUUAAGUUCACGUCGGCAUACGCAACCCCCUUCCCUUUUUCUUCCAUUAAUUGCUCUGACAUCCCGUGUGGUCGAUUCGGGUUCCCUAGGUCAUCAUGAGGAGAUUUCAAUCAACGCUUUUCGCGCCAGGUUCGAGGCGAUCUGCAUUAAAUCUCGUCCGUCCGGAUAAACGGUUAUGAUUGGUUUUCCCUCUUCCCUAGGUCAUUACUGAGGGAUUUCAAUCGACACCUAUUGCGCCGGAUUCGAGGCGAUCUACUUUGAAUCUCGCCCGUUCGAAUAGACGGUCACAAUCGAAUUCUCCUCCUUUCUUUCUCCUAUAAGUAUCUGACUUCUACGAAUUUUCAAAAUUUUUUCCUCUUCUUCACUUCUGUGCUCUCCCCGUCUUUGUUUACUUCCGGCGAUUUUGCUUUUCCGAGAACCAAGUUCUUUCCAUCCCGUGCUCGUUUUCUUCUUCGACAAAGGUACUCCAUUUUUACCCUGCUUUUUACUGUUCUUAGCCUAUGUCUUCCAAUUCCCCCGACCCUUUCGGUCAGAGAAUGCUUUCCAGAGAGGGAGAUGAAUAUCCUACCCUCACUCUCUCUUCUUCUUCGGAGGAAGGGCCCUUCUUUUCCCCUUCGGGUAAAUUACUGAAAAAAUCUAAGAGAAAGGGGAGAGACGACGUUCUGUCCUCCGCGAGGAGUGGCUCUCCUUCAUUGUCUGAGGGGCGCGAUUUAGACGACCAGUGGGGACCCAGUACCUUAAGCGAGGUGGACUUAGACAAUUUAGUUCGCGAUAUAGGCCUUCCUACUGACGUCGAACUAAUAUUACCUUCUCGAGAUCAGCGUCCCUUAAGUCCACCCCCAGGUUUUAGCACCUGGUUCUCGGAACAGUUUUAUUUCGGUCUUUCUUUUCCUAUCUCGUCUUGGUUUUCCGAGAUUGCGCAAUUGUGCAAUGUAUCCCUCAAUCAGUUUCAUCCCCAUGCCAUAGUCGUCAUGACCGGGUUCCGCAUGCUUUGCGCCUGGUCGGGCGUGACCCCUACUCCAGCUCGAUUUCGGAGUGUGAUGGUCUUAAAAAAUUCCAGUCACUUCCACAUCUCUAUCUCGGCUCGCCCGGGUUUCAAAAUAUUAAUGCCGCCCAAUAAAACUGAUGGGUGGCAGGGUCACUACUUUUUUGCGAAAAACCCCACUGAUACCCCUUACCUAUGUCCUUGGUUCGCCACCUUGCCCGACAAGCGGAGGGGAAAACCCCUGGCGAUUGACGAGUGGCUUUUGAAAAUGAUUGUUCAUUUUCAACCAAGUUAUGGUAUGCCUGAGACUCUUACAAGUUUUCCACCGAUACUUCGCCAUUUCUACUUCCAUGACAACGGCACUCAUCCCCUAACUCAAGAGGAUUUAGGUGGGUUUAAACAUGAUAUUAAUUUUCUGUAAUAACUCGUCAUUCAUUUCGGGCUGUUGCUCUUUAUUUGACUGUACUUUAUGCUUGUCGAUAUAUUGCCCACUUGCUCACCACAUUUUCCUUAAUCCCACGAACAGACUUAAGGAUGAAGAGGAUGUUCCGAGGUGACAAGCCGGCGACUCGCCCAUCCGAAUCGGAGCCGGAAUUUCAGGCGUCCGAAUUUCAGCGCCCUGUGGCCGCUGAAUCCGAGAAAAGGUCCUCCGAAGAGGGGGCUCUAAGGCAAAGGCCUUCUAAGAAGAAUGUUGGGGCUUCGCGUCCCCGAGGUGGGCCACGCGUUGAGGAUCCCGAGCUUCCUCGUCGAUCCUCGGCCAUAGUUGCAGUUCCCUCUCCGCCACCCUCCUCGGCCGAAGAACAGGUGGAAAAAGAGCCCACCACGAAGAAGAGAAGGGCUGAUCUAGCCCUUGGGCUGGUCGGGUCGACGCCUGGGCAGACCGGGUCAGCUUCGGGGCAAGUUGGGUCAUCUCUGCCUCCUAACUUUGCACUUCAUCUCUGCCAGAACGCAGAGAACGCCAUUGCUGCUUGCCGAGCUAUGGCGCUUCCCCGAGACGUUGCUCACUUCGGGCAAAUGAGCAAGGGCGAUCGGCUCGAGUUGCUUUUACAUAACAUAACACAGGUUUGUUUUACCUCGCACGCACGAGUUAGCUUUUAAGUUUCUUAGUCACAAUUGGUUUUACUUAAGUCUCCUGUAUGUGUAGCAAUUUGCGAUCGCCUUUUCGGGCCCUUUGGGGUGGGAUGACGUCUCUCGUGAGGCGUAUGAUAACCAAAAGAAGGAGGUCGGUCAGCUCCGCAAAGAGGUCCGAGGUCUGAAGGAGAGUCUGGCGGUGUCCGAGUCGGCGAAUGAGGGGUUGUUCGCCGAGGUGAGGAGGCUACAAGAGAGGGAGAAGAUCUUACAAGCAGAGAAGGACUCUUUAGCAUCCCAUAAUGCGAGCUUAGAGGAAAAAGCUAAAGGGCUUUCUAACGAGCUAUUUGCGGCCGGGGUGCAGGCAUCUUCCAACUUCACCGAGGGAGUGAAGGAAGGCCACAGGCUGUUCCCGGGUUCCUCCGAGGGUCUGCGCUUCAUGGAGGCGUUCGUCCAUCGUUUUUUCGAUCGGCUAUGGCGUUCGACGACGUUUACCCGACAAGCAUCGGGCUUAGCUCGCUUCUUCUUCUCGGAAGCGGUGAAGGCUGUCCGGAAACGGUUAAGUGGUGCUGGUAUUGAGUUCCCCUUGGCUGAAAAUGAGCUUGCCGAGGACUUGCCUGAUGACGUGAUCCCGGGUUUUGAAGGGGACGUGAACGAGGACCCCGACCUGGAGUGGUGGAGGCAGGUGCAUCGAGAGUUAGUUGAAGACUUCUCUCGCCAAGGAAGCUCCUCGGUGAUCAUUACCGACCUUGUUGGAGAUGUCGAGACCAUUGACGCGAUGGCGAAUCUGAACAAGACACCGCCCGACCUUACCUCAUCUCCCUCUCCGACCGCCGGGGAUCAAAGCGGAACCGGGAUGGUGCCGUCCGAGAAAGCUUAGCCAGUUUUUCUUUUGUUUUUGCCCGUUUUUGUAUCUUAUUCCUUGUACAAUGUACUCGUAUUUUUCCUUUGCAUGUUCCGAACAACUUAUUUCGUUUUUUGCGUUUCAAUAUAUCAACAAGUUUAUUUGUUUUAAUUUUGUUUUUCAUGUGUGCCGGGGCUGCUUUUACUUUAGUGCAGUAUAUUCAGGAAUGGUUAGUGAAUUUUAGCAAAGUACUAUCUGAACUUGAGUUGAAUCUUUUAGGACCCGUGUGGGUGGUCGUCCUUUGAUCUCAUUGAUUUAGGACUUAACCUGAUCUCGGCAAGCUUUUUAAUAAUUUACUUGUGUUUGAACUUAGCCUUUGGCUAUUGCUUCCUUUGGCAAAACAUGCGAUUUAACGUUUCAGCAAAACAUGUGUUUUAAUGCCUUGAUAAAACGCGCAAUUUAACGCCUCGAUAAAACACGCGACUUAACGCUUCGAUGAAACAUGCGAUGUAACGCCUUGAUAAAACGCGCGAUUUAACGCCUUGAUAGAAUACGCGAUUUAAUGCCUCGGUAAAACACGCGAUUUAACGCCUCGGUGAAACACGCGAUUUAACGCCUCGGUAAAACACGCGAUUUAACGCCUCGGUAAAACACGCGAUUUAACGCCUCGGUAAAACACGCGAUUUAACGCCUCGGUGAAACACGCGAUUUAACGCCUCGGUGAAACACGCGAUUUAACGCCUCGGUAAAACUCGCGAUUUAACGCCUCGGUUUGUAAUUUAAAUAGAUAACACAAGGAUAUUUUUAACGUGGAAACCCUCCAAAUAAGGAGAGAAAAAACCACGGGGCCUAGCCCAGCUCGAAAAAUGGACGUUUAUUGAUGUUCUUCUUUUACAAGAUGUGCUGCUUCUCUGCUUCUCUCUCUUUUUUCUUUUUGUUUUUUUUUUUUUUUUUUUUUUUUUUUUUUUUUUUUUUUUUUUACGCGAAGAAGCGUUUCAAAUGGAUGACAUUCCAUGCCCGUGGCAAUGGUUUUCCUUCUACAUCUCCCAGCUCGUAUCCCCCACCAGCCAAACACUUUGUGACCACGUAUGGUCCUUCCCAAUUAGCUUCCAGUUUUCCUGUGUGUUUUAGGGCAUCAGCUCGUCGUAGAACGAGAUCACCGAUCUGGAAUGAGCGAGAUCGAACCCCUUGGUCAUAUCGGGCCUUGAUCAAAUUCUUGCUUCGUUCCAUGUGUAAAUAGGCUGCUUCUCGCAAGUCAAAAAUCUCGUCCAGCCGGGUUCUCAAUGCACCGUCGUUUGCUUCUUCAUCGAACGUGGCUAUGCGGAGUGUAUCCAUUGCCACUUCUACUGGAAUUACUGCUUCGGUUCCGUAGGUUAACCGAAAUGGUGUUUCACCGGUAGCUGCUUUGGCCGAGGUUCGGUAAGACCAAAGGACCGAAGGUAACUCAUCUACCCAGCUGCCUCCUAGUUCGUCUAUCCUCUUCUUCAAGCCAUUGACAAUGGUUCGGUUUGUAGAUUCGACCUGACCAUUGGCUUGAGGGUGUGCUACUGCCACAAACUUCUGUGUGAUCUUCAUUUUCUCGCACCACGCGCGAAUCUUUUUGCCAUUGAAUUGAGUGCCAUUAUCCGAGACGAGGCUUUGGGGUAGACCAAACCGGCAACAAAUAUAUUUCCAAAUGAAAUGCAUGACCUCGUCCUCUGUUAUUUUUGACAAGGCCUCAGCUUCAACCCACUUGGUGAAAUAAUCCACCGCGACGAUAAGGAAUUUCUUCCUGCCAGUGGUUUGAGGAAAAGGUCCCACUAGAUCAAUUCCCCAUUGGGCAAAGGGGCAGGGGGCGCUCAUGAUGGUCAUUUCUUCUCCCGGUUUAUGGAUAAGUGGGGCAAAUUUCUGACAUUGUAUGCAACGUUGUACGUAUUGAUGGGUGUCCCUCUUCAUGCCGGGCCAAUAGUAUCCGGCCCGAUGUAAUUUCUGUAUGAGGGACCGAGCUCCUCCAUGUUCUCCACAACCUCCUCGGUGUACUUCGUCCAGGACAUGUUUCUCCUCUUGUUUUCCUAAGCAUCUUGCAUCCACCGUGGUGAAGUUUCUCUUGUAUAAUAUCUCAUGUCGUACGUAGAAGUGUCUGGCUUUGUAUGCUAAGCGAUGUUGCUCCCUAAUUGUACCGGUUCGUUCCCCUCUGAAAUAUGCGAACAAAGGUGUUCGCCAAUCGGAUUCCUCAUCGAUCAUCAUGAUCCCGGGUGUCGGCGUAGGAGCAAUGAGAAUGGAGAUCUUCCUUUCGACGCAAUCGACGACCGACGACCCAAUUUUGGCAAGGAAGUCAGCUCGCUGGUUGUCAUUUCUCGGAAUCUGAUGUACGGUGCAAGCUUCGAAAGUUUCUUGUAUUGCUCGGGCUUUGUUUACAUAUCCUUUCAUUCUAUCGUUCUUCACUUCGUAAUCCCCUUCUAACUGGUGUAUAACCAAUUGAGAGUCGGAGUUUAUUCGUACCACCCGUGCACCGAGUUCUUGUGCGAUUUCCAUACCCCGGAUGAAGGCUUCGUAUUCCGCUUCGUUAUUGGAGACUCGUGGUAAUUUAACAGCAAAUUCCACCUCGAUCCCCGUGGGGUCAAUGAUUAUGAUUCUUGCCCCUGCUCCUGUCGCUGUGGAUGACCCAUCCACGUAGACUCUCCAUUCUUUCUCCAUAGGUACCCUAGUGGUUUCCCGGAUGAAAUCCGCCAACGCUUGUCCUUUGACCGAGGUACGAGGUUGAUAUUGGAUUUCAUAUUGUCCUAACUCAACUGCCCAUUUAACAAUUCGUCCCGAUGCCGUAGGCUGGCCUAGGGUUUGUCGGAGUGGUAAGCUCGUACGGAUUACCAUUGUGUGAGAUAAGAAGUAAGGCCGGAUUCGCCGCGUAGUGAGGACCAGCGCGUAUGCUAUUUUCUCAACUUCUGAGUACUUAAUCUCCGAGUUAGUGAGGAUCUUGCUGAUGUAAUAGAUCGGUCGUUGUUGACCACUUACCUCUUUGAACAAGACCGAACUAAUCGAUUCGUCUCCCACCGAUAGAUAUACGAAUAAGGUUUCGCCUUUCUCAGGGGUGCUAAGGAUGGGCAGGCGAGUUAACGAAACUUUUAGUGCCUCGAACGCGAGUUGGCAUUCUUCGGUCCAUUCGAACUGUGCCGCUUUUCUCAAGACUUUGAAGAAAGGCAGACUUUUAUCAGCCAUUCGCGAUAUGAAUCGAGCCAAAGCCACCACUUUACCGGCUAAGGACUGAACUUCUUUUAUAGACCGAGGAUGGGUCAUUCGGAGUACCGCCUCGACUUUAUCUUGGUUCACCUUGAUACCUUCUCGAUUAACUACAUACCCGAGAAAUUUUCCAGCCUUUACUGCGAAUGCACACUUUGCUGGGUUCAACUUCAUCCCAUAAAGGCGAAGGGUGGCAAAUGUCUCAGCCAAAUCAGCAAGGUGCGUGGAGCAUUUUUUGCUUUUGACCAGCAUGUCAUCGACGUAAACUUCGAUAUUGCGCCCGAGCUGAGCCCGAAACAUCCUAUCCAUUAGUCUCUGAUACGUAGCUCCCGCAUUUUUCAAGCCAAAAGGCAUCACGACAUAACAAUAAGUGCCCGUGGCUGUGAUAAAGCUCACUGCAGGUUGGUCCCUUUCCUCCAACGAGAUCUGGUGGUAUCCUUGCGAAGCGUCCAUCAUGCUGAGUAGCUCACAUCCGGCGGUAGCGUCUACGAGCUGGUCUAUGCGAGGUAAGGGAUAGUCAUCUUUCGGGCAGGCCUUGUUUAAGUCCCGAAAAUCGAUGCACAUCCGCCACUGUCCAUUACUCUUUUGCACCAACACCGCAUUGGACAACCAUGUGGGGAAUUGGAUUUCCCUAAUAUGCCCAAUAUCGAGGAGUCGUUGGACUUCUCGCUUGAUAAUUUCGUCCUUUUCGAUGCCGAAGUGUCGUCGCUUUUGUUUGAUAGGUUUGCACUCGGGUCGCAGAUUGAGCCUGUGUACAGCGGUACGAGGUGCGAUGCCAGUCAAAUCGCUGGGUUGCCAUGCAAAGACGUCUACAUUAGAUCGCAAUAAUGCUAUCAGCUCAUCUCGAAAGGGUGGUUCUAGGUCUUUGCUUAUCUGGGUUUUCUCAUUUUUAUUUUGGAUUGUUUUUACAAAAAACUACCUUUAAAAAUAAAGAGGUACCAUUAUUUUAACCAUUCGAAUUAUAUAAAAAUGAAUAAUAAUAAUAAUAAUAAUAUAAAUUUCAUCUUCAAAUUAUCAGGAUGUUUUAAACAAUAUAUAUAAGAAAAAAACAAUAUAUGUAUAAAACAUAUAUGUUUAAAAUAUAUUAUUUGAAUAUAUAAUAAUAUUAACAUUCAAAAUGUGCUUUUUUUGUUGUUCUUGGAUUAUGAGCUAGAGGUCCUUCAAAAACAUUUGGUACCAUUUAAGGACAGACAAUGUUUAUCAUUUUGAUUAAGGUCCUUUAAUUAGAUUUUGAUACCAUUUAAAGUCCCUGUAGUCCUCUAAUAGGGUUAAGUGGACGCUGAAUAGACAAUUUUUUCUUCAUGCAUUGUUUGAUACUGCAGUUUGAACAAUAGAUACCAAAAGUCUAGAACUUAAAAAUUACAUGAAUAUACGUACUCUAUAGCAUAUAGAGCUUACUUAGAGGGCUUAAACCGAAUCUGAAUAUAUGCAUUCCACAGAGAAGUAUACACACAUAAAAAUUAUAUAGUGGAAAUUAGUUAUGGAGUUUAGAAAGAAAUUAUACACAUAUGAGUAAUAUACAGUAGAAAGUAUAAAGAAUACUUAGUUGCAAGAGUUUAGUCAUGUUUAAUGAUCAUCUUCUAUGGAAUAUUAAUUAUUGACAAUCAUCGCUCCACGUUCUACAGCUAAACAAAGUGAAUAACCAAACACUGCAAUUCAUGAACCUCCAAAUGGGCAUUUACAAACACAAGUCCGAUUUUCCAUAACUGUUUUUUGUGUGAUUGAGUAUGUGUGUGUGUGUGUGUGAGAGAGAGAGAGAGAGAGAGAGAGAGAGAGAGAGAGAGAGAGAGAGAGAGAGAGAGAGAGAGAGAGAGAGAGAGAGAGAGAGAGAGAGUUUGUAUGUGUGCGUGUCAAUUCUUAUCCGACGACGACGGCAACACGGUGGUGGGGUGAAUAUGGUGGUUUGAGGGUGGGGUGGGAGGUAACGAAAAUGGUGGUGCAUUUGAAAUGGAUAAGCGAAUAAGUGAAUGGAGUAUGGGAGAAAGCGACGUGGGUAAUUUCGUCUUAGAGGGAUAGAAGAUCCGACGGUCCUAAUUUAUUAAGAAUAUUAUUAGUGAUGAACAGUAUUUAGUAAAUUACUCGGUAAUUAAUGCAUGCUCUCAGUAUUUAGUAAACAACUUCGGUUUGGGCCGAGCCAUGGCUCACUGACAGCGGGGGCAGGCAUAUUUUUACACGUCGACCAAGUCAUACAUCGUUCCCGAAUAAAGUCUCAGACCUCAUCGACCACUCUGUGCAUUCUUGGGAUAACAACAUUGUCGAGAAUUAUUUUUGGCCCGUUGAUUGGGAACGGAUAAGGGCGGUGCCGAUUGGUAACACCAACGUGGAGGAUAAAUGGAUUUGGCAUUUCACAAAUCACGGCAAAUUCACGGUCCGUUCUUGCUAUCACCAUGUUAUUUCACGGCAAUCUGAAAACACGAGGGAUGGUACAUCGAGUAGUGGGGAAGUUAAAUCAAACUGGAAGUGGAUUUGGAAGUUAUCUCUCCCACCAAAGGUUAAAUUGUUUGUUUGGCGAUGGAUUUCGAACAUUUUACCUACGUCGUCUCUACUUCUCCGACGGAGAAUUGCGGCAGACCCAUGGUGCCGGAGAUGUGGAAGGACAGAAGAAACACCAAUGCAUGUGAUUAUGGAAUGUGGAGGGGUUGAUAAUAUAUGGCGGGAUUUCAAGAUAAUAAUAAAUCACCAGGUUCUAGGAUUGUCUGCUUGGCAAUGGGUCGAGAAACUUCAAAAACACCUCGACAAGGAUUCCUUGAACCUGGCCUUGGUUAUUACAUGGAAGAUUUGGGAGAAGAGGAACAAGGAAAUUCAUGGAGAAGAAGGCAUCCCCACGACCGAUAUUCGAGAUUGGUGCAGAAUUUAUCUUGAUAAUUUUACGGCGAGCCAAACUCCGCCGGUUCUUUCCCACAAUCGCCAUCAUCCGACGAUGUGGAAACCGCCGGAUCAAGGUUCGGUGAAAAUUAAUGUGGAUGUGGCUUUUCCAUUCGAUAAGGACUACCAUGUAACGGCCCUUGUUGCCCGCAAUGCUGACGGAGCUUGUAUUUGGUGGAGCACUAGAAAGAUUAUUGGCCGCCCGACGGUGGUAGAUGGUGAAGCCCAUGCAAUGCUUAGUGCCAUUAUCACAGCAAAGGAGAAAGGCUGGGAGGACAUUGUGAUUGAAGGGGAUAACUUACAAGUGAUUACGGCUUUUCAAACUCGGAACUCGGACACUCUUCCGUACGGGGUUUUUAUAGAGGAAGGCUUGGUUUUGUCUCUUUUUUUCAAUAAUUGUCGUUUUGAAUUUGUUAAACGCUCAGCCAAUAUGUUGGCCCACGCUAUUGCCACUAGAUACGAUCACUCAUGUAAGGAAGGAACAAUUCUUCCGGUUUCUUUGGCCAAUGUUGCUUAAUGAUAUCCUAUAUUUUCCAUCAAAAAAAAUUAUCAGGGAUAGUUACAAUUUUGAUCUCUAUAUUAUACACCUUUUCUUGAUUUUGGUUCUUAAAUUUUUUUUUGGCACGAAAUUGGUCCUGAAAUAACCAGUUCUUUUUACAAUUUUCGUCCACUGUUUGAAAUUGUUGUUAGUUUGGAUGGAAAAAUAACUUGCGUGGUAACCCCUUCUUUUUUACUUAUGUUGUUAAUUUAACCCCAAUAUCACUUUAUUCUUAUAAUUUCGUCCAAAUAAAAUUAAAUUCGAGAAUUGUACUAAAAUUGUGAAAUGACAAAAUUCCAUACGAGAAUUUCUAGGAAUUAGUACAUUAUUUUUUAUUCACAAAUAUUAUUUAUUUCUUUAUUUUUAAAUAUUUUUAAUCAAAAAACACUAUCACUAAUUUGAUCAUGUCAAAUUUUAAUUUUGUAAAAUAAUUUAUUUCAUUAUUUGUAAUUAUUAAUAUGUAAAAAAUAAUUAAACAUAUGUUGUAAUUUCAGAUCACGUUUUUAGUCUUGUAUACAAUAAUGUGCAUGAUCACGUGCCUCACACGUGACUUUACAUUCCAAACUAACAUCAAUUUCAAACAAUUGGCGGAAAUUAUAAAAAAAAAACUGGUUAAUUGCAGAAAAAGUUUUUUUUUUUUUUUAUCAUAAUUGAAGAAAAAAUUCAAGGACCAAAAUAAAAAAAUAAAAUAAUAUAGGGAUCAAAUCUACAAUUAUCCCCUAAUUUCUACGCCUAAAUCUAAAUAUCCACGCCCACUGAUGGUUUCCAUCAUGCAAUUCCAGACUCUAAUUAUCACAAAAGAAUUUCCCUAUCAACUUUUUCAAUUUUUUCUUUCCACCAUUUUUACCAUCCAUCAAUUCCACUUAGAAUAGUCACAAAAAUAAACAAACCUUCAAAUUCUCAUUGCAAUUCAUUCAAAACACACUAUGAAUUUAAUUUUAAUUUAUUUUUUUCCUGUGUUCAAGUGAGAGAUUAGGCAGAUUAAAUAGUUAGAUAUUAUAAUGAUCAUCCAAGAAGAUUAUCCAGAGCUUGUUUUCAUAUUCCUCACACUCUUUUCUUUCUGUGCAAGAUUCUGUACACCACAAACCAACAACAACGCAGCAGCAAGAAACACAUGCGAGAACUCCGCCAGAUGCGGAGCUUUCGGCAUCUGCAACUCACAAGGCUCCCCAAUUUGCACUUGCUUACGUGGAUUCCAACCUCUGAACAAGCAAGAAUGGGAUUCCGGGAACUGGACCGCAGGGUGUUCGAGAAAAGUCCCCUUAGAGUGCAGUAUCGAAAACAAUAAUAAUAACAAUACUAGUAGCCGUAACGGGACGAAAGAAGAUGGAUUCUUGAAGAUAGAGAUGAUUAAAGUUCCCGGUUACGCGCAGCGAUUGCUCGUGCCCGAAACCGAGUGCCCGAAGCAGUGCUUGAUGAACUGCUCUUGCAUAGCUUACGCUCAUGAUUCUGAUCUCGGGUGUUUGUUUUGGAAUAGUACCUUGUUCGACAUUCAGAAAUUCCCUAGUGGAUCGGGUUCCGAUCUUUUUUUCCGUGUCGCGAAUUCUGAACUUGGUAAUUUAGAUAGAGAUGCUUAG